AGGUCCUACGGGACGCAGCAGUGGGGGAUAUUGCACAAUGGGGGAAACCCUGAUGCAGCGACGCCGCGUGGGUGAAGAAGCGCCUCGGCGCGUAAAGCCCUGUCAGCAGGGAAGAAAAUGACGGUACCUGAAGAAGAAGCCCUGGCUAACUACGUGCCAGCAGCCGCGGUAAUACGUAGGGGGCAAGCGUUAUCCGGAUUUACUGGGUGUAAAGGGGGCGCAGACGGCGAUGCAAGCCAGGCGUGAAAGCCCGGGGCCCAACCCCGGGACUGCUCUUGGAACUGCGGGGCUAGAGAGCAGGAGGG
RNAcentral lists this ribosomal RNA (305 nucleotides) under uncultured bacterium. RNAcentral describes it as "bacterial SSU rRNA". It matches the Rfam family "Bacterial small subunit ribosomal RNA", at positions 334 to 656 of the family's 1533-position model. The record is from RNAcentral.